CUAACCAGGAUUCCCCUAGUAACGGCGAGUGAAGCGGGAAGAGCUCAAAUUUGUAAUCUGGCGGUCUCGCGGCCGUCCGAGUUGUAAUCUGGAGAAGCGUUUUCCGUGCCGGUCCCGUGUAUAAGUCCCUUGGAACGGGGCGUCGUAGAGGGUGAGAAUCCCGUUCACGACACGGUUCCGCCGGCACUCUUGCGAUGCGCUCUCGAAGAGUCGAGUUGUUUGGGAAUGCAGCUCAAAACGGGUGGUAAAUUCCAUCUAAAGCUAAAUAUUGGCGAAAGACCGAUAGCGAACAAGUACCGUGAGGGAAAGAUGAAAAGCACUUUGGAAAGAGAGUCAAACAGUACGUGAAAUUGUUGAAAGGGAAACGCUUGAAGUCAGUCGCGUCUCUCGGGACUCAGUCGGGCGUUCGCGCUCGACGCAUUUCCCGCUGUCGGACGGGCCAGCAUCGAUUUCGAUCGUCGGAGAAAGGUUCGAGGAAUGUGGCACCUCCGGGUGUGUUAUAGCCUCGGAUCGCAUGCGUCGGUCGGGAUCGAGGAACGCAGCGCGCCCCUCUCUUUCGAGAGGGGGCCGGGGGCAUACUCACGGAACGCGCUUUGGAUGCUGGCGUAAUGGCUUUAA
This 618-nucleotide ribosomal RNA is filed under the name Gelopellis macrospora. Its description in RNAcentral is "eukaryotic LSU rRNA". It matches the Rfam family "Eukaryotic large subunit ribosomal RNA", at positions 65 to 643 of the family's 3401-position model. Lineage: Eukaryota; Fungi; Basidiomycota; Agaricomycetes; Phallales; Claustulaceae. The record is from RNAcentral.